RNAcentral lists this ribosomal RNA (406 nucleotides) under uncultured prokaryote. RNAcentral describes it as "bacterial SSU rRNA". It matches the Rfam family "Bacterial small subunit ribosomal RNA", at positions 355 to 774 of the family's 1533-position model. The record is from RNAcentral.
UGGGGAAUAUUGCACAAUGGGCGCAAGCCUGAUGCAGCAACGCCGAGUGAGUGAUGAAGGCUUUCGGGUCGUAAAACUCUGUCCUAUGGGAAGAAAAAAAUGACGGUACCAUAGGAGGAAGCCCCGGCUAACUACGUGCCAGCAGCCGCGGUAAUACGGAGAGGGCAAGCGUUGUUCGGAUUUAUUGGGCGUAAAGCGAGCGUAGGCGGUAUGGUAAGUCGGAUGUUAAAGACCCACGGCUCACCCGGGGGAAUGCGUCCGAUACUGCCGUACUGGAGUGUGGGAGAGGGAAGUGGAAUUCCUGGUGUAGCGGUGAAAUGCGUAGAUAUCAGGAGGAACACCUGUGGCGAAGGCGGCUUCCUGGCCCAUAACUGACGCUGAAGCUCGAAAGCGUGGGGAGCGAACG